Molecule: ribosomal RNA, 261 nt
Filed under: uncultured bacterium
Lineage: Bacteria
Description: partial 16S ribosomal RNA
Rfam family: Bacterial small subunit ribosomal RNA
Source: RNAcentral
CACGUAGGGGGCAAGCGUUGUCCGGAUUUAUUGGGCGUAAAGAGCUCGUAGGCGGCUUGGCAAGUCGGGUGUGAAACCUCCAGGCUCAACCUGGAGACGCCACUCGAUACUGCCAUGGCUAGAGUCCGGUAGGGGACCACGGAAUUCCAGGUGUAGCGGUGAAAUUCGUAGAUAUCAGGAGGAACACCGGUGGCGAAGGCGGCCAAUCUGGACGACAACUGACGCUGAGAUGCGAAAGCGUGGGGAGCAAACAGGAUUAGA